Cricetulus griseus (Chinese hamster) is the source of this 4333-nucleotide non-coding RNA. The record is from RefSeq and is a predicted model, not a curated record. Lineage: Eukaryota; Metazoa; Chordata; Mammalia; Rodentia; Cricetidae.
UCUCCCUCUCUCAGGUGGAAGGCAGAGGGCUCAGGCUCAGGCAGCAGCCGCAGGACAGAGGGCAGUGGGUGGACAAGCGUGAGGUGUGUCCAUACUCAGGGUGGGCCUUCUGGUCUGGACAGGUCCAGUCUUGUCCAGGGAGGGGGGUGCUCAGGCAUAAGUGAGCAGGGGUUGAUGGGGGAGGUUGUGGAGCAGGGCAGCGCCCAGACUCACCUGAGGCUCGGGCGCCAAACUGGAGGACAGGGCAGAGCAGACUUUUUGUUUUUGUUUUAAUAAAGUAACUUUGAACUUUUCUUCUUUUUCUGGUUACUUAAGGUAUAACAUUAGGCUCUUUACUUGAUUAUAUUUCUUUUCUUUGUUAAACAAUAUUUUUGUGCACAUAUGUAUGUGGCUAUGCAUGAUGUACAAGUACAUGUAUGUGGUUCUCAAAGACUGGACUUACAUGUUCAGGCUUGGCAGCAAGUGCCUUUAUGAACCAAGGCAUCUCACUGAGCACUCUGUCUCUUUUCAGGUAGCUGUUUAUAGCUAAAACUGCUCCUCUGAGAACAUCUUUUGUGGCGUUCUGCAAGCUUUGCAAGAAGGUCCUGGAUCCUUUAUUUCUAUGUAACAUCCUGUUCAUGGAAUUGUUGCCAGGUUCUCAUUAAGAAGUGUUACCAACCUCAUGACAUCUGAAAACCGCUGGCAGCAUAGUGAGGCUGAAGAUGGCCAAUUCCCACAGAAGCUGGCAAUUUCUUGGGACACCGCAGCCCCCUGAAGCUGAGGGCCGGCAGCCAGCUGUUGCUGCAAGCUGGCUCUAGUCAGGGUCUCUUGAGAAAACCCAGAGCUUGCUGAGAAGACUAUUGUGAUUAGCCAGUUUGCUGGAGGAGUCUCCUGUCUGCCUUAUAGGACUGGAAUUAUAGGGGUGCUACCCCAGCAUCCGGGCUCUGUGGAUCUGAACUCCAGUUCUGCUGCUUGCAUGGCCAGCCCUUCAGCCCCUGAGACAUUUCCACAACUCCUAAAGACAUUACUGGAUUUACAUGAUCGUCAACAGAACACUGGCUUGACUUUAGGCUCCACAGGUCUUAGUUUAGGGUGUGGCCAAGUAUGGGCACUGGUCUGCCUUGUUGUCUUUUUUACCUUAUUUUUCUAUCUGUGAGUGAAGAGGACUUUAUUGCUCACUCACUGGGUUGCUGUGAAGAUUACAUGGGCUAAGGAACAGUCUUUCUACACAGCCUUGGCUGUCCUGGAACUCACUCUGUGGACCUGGCUGUCCUGGAACUCACUCUGUGGACCUGGCUGUCCUGGAACUCACUCUGUGGACCUGGCUGUCCUGGAACUCACUCUGUGGACCUGGCUGUCCUGGAACUUACUGUGUGGACCAGACCGACCUCAAAUUUGCAGGGAUCAGCCUGCCUCUUUCUUCUGAGUGUUGGGAUUAAAGUUUUGCCAGGCCCAUCAGUGUGACCACUGGAUUGGAAGUACCCAUUGGAACCUGGUACGGUCAUCACGGCAAUACCUCUGAAGGAAACCUCUGUCUUUAUCAGUAGCAAACAGUUGAGCACUGAGGAGUGGGACCCCAGAGACCUCCCCCACCUAUGCCUGGCUGUCCAUGGACCCAUUCUUGUGUGGACUCGGGACAGUCAUCUGCAAAUGUUGAAACUUCAUGUUAGAAGCAUUUUUGUCUUGCCCACAAGAUGGGGUUUCCGAGCUGAGCACUCAACUGUCACUUAUUCUUAGGGCCGUGUACAGCCGAGUCUCUUCAUUCACUGCAGUGCAUUAGAGAGACAGGGCUGUCUGACUAACACAGUGGUGAUUGGCUGUGGCUAUAAAGAUAUCUAUUUAGAAGGUGGUUUGGUGUUACAUCAAUUUAAAUAAGCAACAGAAUUAAGUCCCCUCUUGGGGACAGUGACUUUCCGCACUAUAGGUUCUUUUUAGUGAGUUUACAGUACUGGGUAUGGAUUCCCCUCUUAGAGUGAGCCUCAAAUCAGAUCAGAAAUCUGUCCAACCCAUCCCUCUUGUUUCAGUUUCCUUCUUCCCACUCACUUUCUCUGCUGUUGCCAGCAUCUGUUGUCUUAAAGCAGUCAUGAAUAUUGCCCUUAACAGAGAAUUAUGGGUGCUCCCUACCUUGAUAAUCAUAGACUCUUAACCCUUUGAAACUGUAAGCCCCCAAUAAGCUUUUUCUUUUAUAAAUUGCUAUGGUCAUGCUGUCUUAUCUCAGCAAUAGAAAGAUACUGAAGACUGAACUCAGUGUGGUGAGUUGGGGUUUUGUCUUGGCAGGCCUGACUAUGCUGUUUUCAGUGGGGAACAUGGAAAGCUUUGGGAGUUUUGUCUAGAAAAGUGGUUGACAACUUUAAAUGGGAUUAAUAGGCCAUCCUAGUAUGGAGGACAGCAGUACCGAGAGCAGUGUGGGCUCUGGAGGACCAGCUCGAGAGGUUUCAGAGAGAAACAGUAUUAGCAACUGGGCUAGAGAAUAUUUUUGUGAUACUUUGGCAAAUAAUGUGGUGCUUUCUGCCUUUGUCCUAAAAAUUUGCCUGAGGCAAACUGAAAAACAACAGAUUAAUAGGGGGAACAGAUUUCAAGACAGCCUAAUAUUGGCUCUGUUGCAUGGUUACUAGUAAUUACUUUUUUGUUGGUCUAUAAUGAAAAAGAGCAUGUAAGGCACAAAGAAAUACAAAGUGUAUCGUGUAGAGCCAAAAAGAACCCUGGGAAAUUUAAUGUUGUAGCCAAUGCUUGUACUAAAAAGACAGGAGAGACCCAUGGGAAAUGGAAUGAAGGGCAGUGUGUCCUCAGGGUGAGACCCCCAUGCAUCUAAACUUCCAACUUGUGAAAAGAAAAUGCCUGAGGAACUUUCUGGUCCUGAAAGGCAAAGGGAAGCCUAUACAAUGUGAGCAACCCCACUUGGCAGCUCUUUCUGGUUUUGGAAUCAUGAAGGAUACAUAAGGAAAGGAGUUGUGGAAUCUUCCUCUGUGAUUAAAGAGAGUUGUUGGGGCCAGUGUGUGGCAACUGAGACCCUACAUGGAGGCCCUGAGAGGCCAUUGUGUGAAGCUCUGAUGGGGAAUGGAUCCCAACCCAAGAGGGAGAAACACAUUGUAGCCAACAAAACCUGAAGGGAGGCUGGAGCUGUCAGACACUGUGAUAUCAGACACGGAGCUACAGAAUUUGGAGGGCCCUGCUGCGUUUAGGUCUUGGCUUUGGCCCAGUGUUUUCUCUCUAUGUCCCCAUCCCUCCAUUUUGGGAUGGUAAUAUAUGUUCUGUGCCUUUAGAUUUUUUAUUUUGUGCCUUUUUAUUUUGAUUUUAAUGGGGCUAUAAUAAGGGAGUACUCUGAGUCUCAGAAGAGACUUUGGACUUUUAAACUGUGUUGAGACUGAAAGAAUAGUGGGACUUUUGACUUUGGAUUUUUAAAUUGUGUUGAGACUGAAAGAAUAGUGGGACUUCUGGAGCUGGACUAAACACAUUUUAUGUCAUGUUAUGUCCCUGGGAGGGAGGGAGUGGAAUGUGGUUUGACUGAUAAUGAAGGCCCAUUUGUUUGAAUACUUGGUCCCUAGUUGGUGGAACUAUUUGGGUUAGUAGGUGUGUCCUUGUUGGAUGAGGUCCAUCACCAACUGUCUCUCAUGAGCUCUCUUCAUGGUGCCGAGCCUCAACUUGUUUGCAUGGCGCCUUCAGCUGCCACUGAGGCUGCCACUGAGGCUGCAUCUUCACCAAUGGCCUCUCCUGGCCUCUCACAGGGCCAAGCCUCAGCUGCUCUCCAUGACUCCUUCAAAACCAGCACCAAGCUAAGCUGCCAGCACAAAGUACAGGUCUUGGCUGCUUCUGGAGCAUAGCUUGUGUGUGUGCUGACCCCGAGCAAACACUUCCUAGAAGAUUUCACCUCAGUGCUGCUGGUCUCUUCUUAAUCACUGCUAAUUUCUUAGCUCUAGCUUAACCAGCAUCAUUGCCCUCGGUAAUGAAAAGAUUUCAUUUCAAUGUUGCCAGUCUCUUGUUAAUCACAGCUGAUUCUUCAGCCCCAGCUGACAGAAACAACAGAAUCUUUAUUCAAAAUAGGAUACAGCCCUGAUAGUCUUUAAACUUCCCUCUGAAAAUCACGAGCCAGGCCUCUAACUUCUGCAUUGCUCUUAACAUGCUCAUCUUCCAAGCUUCUAAAGAAUGGCUCACUGAACUCUCAAUGCUUCAUGGCUCUUCUAGCUCAAACUUCCAAAGUUCUUCCAUGGUCAGAUUUGUCAUAGCAAUGCCCCGUUCCUGGUACAAACUUGUGUUAGUUAGGGUUUCUAUUGCUGCCACAAAACACCAUGACCAAAAAGCAAACUGGGAGGAAAGGGUUUAUUCAGCUCCACAUCGCUGUUCAUCAUCAAAGGAA